UGAGACCUCAGGUCAGGCGGGAUUACCCGCUGA
Molecule: ribosomal RNA, 33 nt
Filed under: Canavalia lineata
Lineage: Eukaryota; Viridiplantae; Streptophyta; Magnoliopsida; Fabales; Fabaceae
Description: partial 26S ribosomal RNA
Source: RNAcentral